RNAcentral lists this ribosomal RNA (253 nucleotides) under uncultured bacterium. RNAcentral describes it as "partial 16S ribosomal RNA". It matches the Rfam family "Bacterial small subunit ribosomal RNA", at positions 524 to 776 of the family's 1533-position model. The record is from RNAcentral.
UACGGAGGGGGCUAGCGUUGUUCGGAAUUACUGGGCGUAAAGCGUGCGCAGGCGGCUUUGCAAGACAGAUGUGAAAUCCCCGGGCUUAACCUGGGAACUGCAUUUGUGACUGCAUGGCUCGAGUGCGGCAGAGGGGGAUGGAAUUCCGCGUGUAGCAGUGAAAUGCGUAGAUAUGCGGAGGAACACCGAUGGCGAAGGCAAUCCCCUGGGCCUGCACUGACGCUCAUGCACGAAAGCGUGGGGAGCAAACAGG